AUUGAACGCUGGCGGCAGGCCUAACACAUGCAAGUCGAACGGUAACAGGAAGCAGCUUGCUGCUUUGCUGACGAGUGGCGGACGGGUGAGUAAUGUCUGGGAAACUGCCUGAUGGAGGGGGAUAACUACUGGAAACGGUAGCUAAUACCGCAUAACGUCGCAAGACCAAAGAGGGGGACCUUCGGGCCUCUUGCCAUCGGAUGUGCCCAGAUGGGAUUAGCUAGUAGGUGGGGUAACGGCUCACCUAGGCGACGAUCCCUAGCUGGUCUGAGAGGAUGACCAGCCACACUGGAACUGAGACACGGGCCAGACUCCUACGGGAGGCAGCAGUGGGGAAUAUUGCACAAUGGGCGCAAGCCUGAUGCAGCCAUGCCGCGUGUAUGAAGAAGGCCUUCGGGUUGUAAAGUACUUUCAGCGGGGAGGAAGGGAGUAAAGUUAAUACCUUUGCUCAUUGACGUUACCCGCAGAAGAAGCACCGGCUAACUCCGU
RNAcentral lists this ribosomal RNA (489 nucleotides) under uncultured bacterium. Its description in RNAcentral is "partial 16S ribosomal RNA". It matches the Rfam family "Bacterial small subunit ribosomal RNA", at positions 30 to 506 of the family's 1533-position model. The record is from RNAcentral.